Molecule: long non-coding RNA, 341 nt
Organism: Tigriopus californicus
Lineage: Eukaryota; Metazoa; Arthropoda; Copepoda; Harpacticoida; Harpacticidae
Exons: 2
Source: RefSeq, a predicted model, not a curated record
CUGAACGUUCAAGGCAAACGACUGGAGAAGAUUUUAUAAUCAUAAUCAGUGCUACAUUCCUGGGCCAGUCCGAUCCGCCUCCUCUGAUUCAUUCAUGGAUCAGAUUUCAUAUGGCAAUCAAUACAAAAAUAUGAAAAUGGGGAAAUGGUGUAUGGAUGCGUACCUUGCCGUGAUUCAAGGCCAAUCGGAACACGGUCUGGACCUGGUCGACUUGGCGGGAUUUUUGGAUCAGAUCCAUGAGGGGUGUGGUGCCGUGGAAAUCCGUCAGAUUGAUCAAGGCCCGCAACGCGAUCAUUUGCUCGAUUAAGUCGGGAUCCAUUACCGGGGCCGCCAUGGCCAUG